CUUAAUUCUCCUAAGUAAUAAACCUAUUGUAGAGUUGUUGAACCUGGCUUGUGUCUCCCCCACUCUGUCAUAGCCAAGUACAGGGCACCAAAAACAGAUUCAGUUGGGGGGCAGAACAGCCAGGCUAGGUUCUUUGGAAGACGCAUACCUUAAUAAACCAAACAAAUAACACCCUGGACUGGGAUGACUCUAGAUGUUGGCAUACCAGUAAUACAAUCCUCAGCAGAGUUACACCCUUCUAAAUUCAGUGAACUUCAAUUAACUUAGAGGGGUUCAACUCUGCUGAGGAUUGCACUGCAGAAUUACUAAUAAAUGCAAAGUAGAUUUCUAAACAUUACAGGUGGAAAAGACCUGCAGUGUCUUUGCAAGGCCCAAAGUUCAAUUUUUGCAUUUAGUCCUCCAAUCAGAAUAAGCUCCAUUUGAAACAAUAUUGAUAUUUAUGGAAUUGAGGCACACCUCAGUUAAACUGGAGUUUGUUCAAUGGGUACAGCAUCAUAUUUUUGCAUCAUACAAGCAAGGAUAACUGUGAACAGGACAUUUCUCAUAUCUAUGUUAGAGGAGUGCUGCACAUUAUAUUGGGUCUCGCCACUGGUGGGAUUCAAAUAAUUUAACAACCAGUUCCAGUGGUGGGAUUCAAAUAAUUUAACAACUGGUUGUUUACAAGCACCAUUUAAACAACCAGUUCUACCAAAGUGGUGUAAACCUGCUGAAUCCCACCACUGAGUGCAGCCCUUUGCACAGGGAUAAGGAGCCUGAAAAUUCAUGCUUCACAUUGGUGAUCAUGGGCUUUAAUGAAUGUCAUGUCUUGCUUUCUUUUGGGCAAUUCUCACUGACCUUUUGAAAAAGGCAUAGAAGGCUAGGGGGCAGUGCCUUUUAGAAAUCAAUGUUUCUGUUUUGCAGUGGGAUAACUCUUUAAGGAUGAUUUGUGGCAUCUAUGGCAUGCCAUUAAAGUAUGGUUUAACUGAUUGUGAAAUAAAACCAUCUUACUGCUACUUGAAAGCACUGCUCAGACACUUCAAUCCUUCAUUGUUAUCUCAAGUAGAAAGCUAAGAUAUUUCUGUUUAACCAUCAUCACUUAUCAUGUAACUGAGCAUUCUAAUCUCCUGAGUAGUUCUUUUUGUAUGCCUGCUACAAAUAUGCAGAUAAUUGAUAGAUGGGAGUUUAUAUGCUGAACUACUCUAGGAGAUAAACUGUCCAGACAAUUAGAAACAGCAUGAUGAUGAUAUAUGUCCCAGUGGACUACUAGUUCAAUAUCCUGAGACCAAAUCUCAGGGCCAUUUUCUAUGGAACACUCUGCAUCCAUGGAAUAGGGGGUGGGAGAAUGCAGCUGUGUUCUUGGGACUCAUCUGUGAGUAAACUGCAUGCAUGACCUAUUUGUAAAAGAUGUGUUCAUGUUCAUGUUCAUCUUGUAGACAUCGGAUAUUGUACUGGAGCUCAGAACAAUAUCAUGACAGAGAGUUCCUGUUACGAGCUCAGAUGCACAUAUGAAGCUCCAGAAUCCAUUCAUUUCAACUUGUACCUGUGACUCAGCUCCUUCCUUUAAUGGGGAAGGCUUUACAGGUGAAGACUGGGAAUCUGCACACACUUUGGGAUGCACCAGAGAUUAAUCACAGGCUUGACAUCAGUAUUCUAGAUAGCUGGAGCACACCAGUGAUGGCAUAUUUUGUUCCCAAUGCCUAAUUUAUCUUAAUGGGGUGGUGUGUUGGGGGGAGGGGAGAAUUAGCAAUAUUCUUAAUGCACCUCAAAACCCAGAAUUAAUUUCUGCUUGUCUAGGUUUUGCUUGGUUAUACAGAUGAUCUCCAUACAGCAUACAUAUACCUCCCUGUAUAUAUUCCUUUAAAUAUCAAAUGCAGUUAAAUGCAAAUGAAACAAAGACCUUACGUUCAGCAUGUUCUGUAUGAGUCAGCUUUAUUCAUUUUUAAUCUUGUGUAGUGUUUUAAAAGUCACAUGUUCCUGUAAACCAAGCAUUAUGUCUGUGUUUUUCUUCAAACAAAACUUUAAAUAAAUCAUUAUUUGUAAAUUAUUCCUGAAAGUGGAUUCUCUGUCACUAUUUAUAUGCAUGUUUUUUAACAUGUUAAAUGUAUAUUUACUGUUCUGUGUGCUGGAUGCUGCUGUUUUCAUCUAAAUUAAAUUGAGUAUUACGGGCCUUAAUGAUGACCAGUUUGUCCCAGACUAAUUUGUGUUUGGUUUUAGUACUUGAAGCAGUAGACUUAAGGUGAAGCUUACUGGAAGUUUGUUUUGGACAAAGCAGAAAGAAUCUUCACUUUCACAUGUAUGUUCCUCAAACAAUGCUGGUGCUUUCUUUUACUAUUGCCAAAUUAUUUCUGUAUUUUUUAAUAAAAAUGACCUUCACUUGGUUUUAUGUAUGUUUUAAUAAACUGUAUUUUUAAGUAAA
Sphaerodactylus townsendi is the source of this 2395-nucleotide long non-coding RNA. RefSeq lists it as uncharacterized. The record is from RefSeq and is a predicted model, not a curated record. The transcript is spliced from 2 exons. Lineage: Eukaryota; Metazoa; Chordata; Lepidosauria; Squamata; Sphaerodactylidae.